RNAcentral lists this ribosomal RNA (604 nucleotides) under uncultured fungus. RNAcentral's name for it is "eukaryotic LSU rRNA". It matches the Rfam family "Eukaryotic large subunit ribosomal RNA", at positions 23 to 641 of the family's 3401-position model. The record is from RNAcentral. Lineage: Eukaryota; Fungi.
ACCCGCUGAACUUAAGCAUAUCAAUAAGCGGAGGAAAAGAAACCAACAGGGAUUGCCUUAGUAACUGCGAGUGAAGCGGCAAAAGCUCAAAUUUGAAAUCUGGUGCCUUCGGCGCCCGAGUUGUAAUUUGGAGAGACAUCUUCGGAGUAGACGCCGUCCUAAGUUCCUUGGAACAGGACGUCACAGAGGGUGAGAAUCCCGUGCCUGGAUGGCUGUUCUACUUCAUGUGAAGUGUCUUCGACGAGUCGAGUUGUUUGGGAAUGCAGCUCAAAAUGGGAGGUAAAUUUCUUCUAAAGCUAAAUAUUGGCGAGAGACCGAUAGCGCACAAGUAGAGUGAUCGAAAGAUGAAAAGCACUUUGAAAAGAGAGUUAAAAAGUACGUGAAAUUGUUGAAAGGGAAGCGCUUGAGACCAGACUCGACCAGUGGUGAUCAGCGGUGCUUCUGUGCCGUGCACUUGCCAUUGGUUGGGCCAGCAUCGGUUUGGACGGCGGGAUAAAGACCUAAGGAAUGUGGCUCCCUCCGGGGAGUGUUAUAGCCUUGAGUGCAAUGCCGCCAGUCUGGACCGAGGACCGUGCUUCGGCUAGGAUGCUGGCGUAAUGGUCUU